CGCUCGAAGCGCGUCGUGGUAUUUCGCGUAUUGUAAUUUCAACACGAGCGGGGUCAAAUCCUUUGCAGACGACUUAGCUGUGCGAAACGGUCCUGUAAGCAGUAGAGUAGCCUUGUUGUUACGAUCUGCUGAGGGUAAGCCGUCCUUCGCCUCGAUUUCCCCAAUGGGUUCUCCGGAUUUCUGGAGACUUGUAGGGGUUGUGGGAUUUUUGAUGUGUCGUCUCCGGACGGGCGGUGCAGGGUAGUCGAGUUAGACUUGGUGGAAUUCCGUCGAUAGGAGUUCCGUCGAGUCUGGUCGGCUGUGUGUUGGACGGUGUAGGGUAGGCUGCUUGGACAUGGUCGGUUCGAGGAUCGAUUCGAGGGCCGGCCUGUCGAUGAUGUGUGAUGUAUGCGGUCUAGGGUAGGUUGGUUUGUCUUGGUUCGAUUUGAUGUCGGCUCCCGUGCAGGCCAGAGUGAGGGGGGUCCAGGGUAGGUGCAGGGUAGGCAGCUUAGAUUUGGUCGAUCUGGAGGUCGAUUCUCCGGCUGGCGGAUCUGACACUGUCGAAACGAGAUGCGAGGGGUGUAGGGUAGGCUAGUUUCGUACUUGCCAGGUUGCGAUUUGGACGAGAUAUGUGGUUUAGGGUAGGCUCUAGGGUAAGUAGAAUUCGAGUUUCGUCGCCGAUAGUUUUCUGUGGGUGUAUGGUAGGUACAGGGUAGGCAAAUCUCUCUCCGGCCAGUACUUGUCUCGUGGUCGUGAGUCGAUUUUUUUGUUUUGCCAUACUAUUGAAUUUUGCGGAAAUUCAAAAGUGGCUCGGGAGUCCCGCCUGGCGUGCGUCCGACUCGAACAUCGUCGG
This 832-nucleotide ribosomal RNA is filed under the name Fusarium oxysporum f. sp. radicis-lycopersici. Its description in RNAcentral is "partial large subunit ribosomal RNA". The stretch from base 1 to 160 matches the Rfam family "Eukaryotic large subunit ribosomal RNA", at positions 3242 to 3401 of the family's 3401-position model. The record is from RNAcentral. Lineage: Eukaryota; Fungi; Ascomycota; Sordariomycetes; Hypocreales; Nectriaceae.